UUAUGGCUCAGGAUAAACGCUGGCGGCGUGCUUAACACAUGCAAGUCGAACGGAGUGGUUCUCCCGAGGAUUGAUGGUGCUUGCACCUGAUUGACUCAUUGAAUCACUUAGUGGCGGACGGGUGAGUAACGCGUGGGAAACCUGCCCUAUACUGGGGGAUAGCAGUUGGAAACGACUGAUAAUACCGCAUAAGCGCACAGGACCGCAUGGUCUGGUGUGAAAAACUCCGGUGGUAUAGGAUGGUCCCGCGUCUGAUUAGCUAGUUGGUGAGGUAACGGCCCACCAAGGCGACGAUCAGUAGCCGGCCUGAGAGGGUGUACGGCCACAUUGGGACUGAGACACGGCCCAAACUCCUACGGGAGGCAGCAGUGGGGAAUAUUGGACAAUGGGGGAAACCCUGAUCCAAGCGACGCCGCGUGAACGAUGAAGUAUUUCGGUAUGUAAAGUUCUAUCAGCAGGGAAGAUAAUGACGGUACCUGACUAAGAAGCACCGGCUAAAUACGUGCCAGCCGCCGC
RNAcentral lists this ribosomal RNA (516 nucleotides) under uncultured bacterium. RNAcentral describes it as "bacterial SSU rRNA". It matches the Rfam family "Bacterial small subunit ribosomal RNA", at positions 17 to 518 of the family's 1533-position model. The record is from RNAcentral.